Molecule: ribosomal RNA, 492 nt
Filed under: Macrobrachium nipponense
Lineage: Eukaryota; Metazoa; Arthropoda; Malacostraca; Decapoda; Palaemonidae
Description: partial small subunit ribosomal RNA
Rfam family: Microsporidia small subunit ribosomal RNA (bases 121-492)
Source: RNAcentral
GGGUGAAAUUUAUAGUUCAGUAGUAAUGUUGGGACUUGCUUAUUUUCUUAGAGGCUAUUAAAAUCUAGGUUUAGACCAGGAUUAGAUACCCUGUUAUACUGGAUUUGAAAUAUAUUGCUUGAUUAGUAUUAGUUAUGGUCUUGAAAUUUAAAGGAUUUGGCGGUAUCCAAGUCUAGUUAGAGGAACCUGCCAUUUAAACGAUAUACCACGAAUUAUCUUACUUUAUCUUGUUAUCAGUAUGUAUACCUCCAUUAUUAGGUGGUGUAUUAAUAUAUCCAUUGAAAUUAAUUUAUGUUAAGUAUAUUAGGUCAAGGUGCAGCCAAUGGUAAAGUCAUAGGUGGGUUACAAUGUAUUAUAUUUAUAGACGAAUAGUUUCUUGAAAAUGAAACUUGAAGGUGGAUUUAAUUGUAUUUUUAUUUUAAUAUGUUAAAUUGAUAUUAGCUCUAGGGUAUGUACACAUCGCCCGUCGCUCUCACUACUUAAAGUGAGAUA